GAGUUUGAUCGUGGCUCAGAUUGAACGCUGGCGGCAUGCCUUACACAUGCAAGUCGAACGGCAGCACGGGAGCUUGCUCCUGGUGGCGAGUGGCGAACGGGUGAGUAAUGCAUCGGAACGUAUCCUGGAGUGGGGGAUAACGUAGCGAAAGUUACGCUAAUACCGCAUAUUCUGUGAGCAGGAAAGCGGGGGACCUUCGGGCCUCGCGCUCUUGGAGCGGCCGAUGUCGGAUUAGCUAGUUGGUGAGGUAAAGGCUCACCAAGGCGACGAUCCGUAGCAGGUCUGAGAGGAUGAUCUGCCACACUGGAACUGAGACACGGUCCAGACUCCUACGGGAGGCAGCAGUGGGGAAUUUUGGACAAGUGGGGGCAACCCGUGAUCCAGCCAUGCCGCGUGAGUG
Molecule: ribosomal RNA, 400 nt
Filed under: bacterium enrichment culture clone ALO1_GLFRUDD03GRYAU
Lineage: Bacteria
Description: bacterial SSU rRNA
Rfam family: Bacterial small subunit ribosomal RNA
Source: RNAcentral